GUUAAAGUGGCAGAAACGGGAAUUGCAUAAAACUUAAGAUUUUAACACUAGAGGUUCAACCCCUCUCUUUAACA
RNAcentral lists this transfer RNA (74 nucleotides) under Harpiocephalus harpia (hairy-winged bat). RNAcentral's name for it is "tRNA-Leu". It matches the Rfam family "tRNA". From Rfam's summary of the family: Transfer RNA (tRNA) molecules are approximately 80 nucleotides in length. The record is from RNAcentral. Lineage: Eukaryota; Metazoa; Chordata; Mammalia; Chiroptera; Vespertilionidae.